Molecule: ribosomal RNA, 230 nt
Filed under: uncultured bacterium
Lineage: Bacteria
Description: partial 16S ribosomal RNA
Rfam family: Bacterial small subunit ribosomal RNA
Source: RNAcentral
AGGGAGGCGUAGGCGGCUGAUUAAGUCAGCGGUGAAAGGUAGCAGCUUAACUGUUUUACAUGCCGUUGAUACUGGUUAGCUUGAGUUGACAGAAGGCAGAUAGAAUUCCUGGUGUAGCGGUGAAAUGCUUAGAUACCAGGAGGAAUACCGAUUGCGAAGGCAGUCUGCUGCAGUCACACUGACGCUGAGGCUCGAAGGUGCGGGGAUCAAACAGGAUUAGAUACCCUGGU